RNAcentral lists this ribosomal RNA (1161 nucleotides) under Tanqua tiara. RNAcentral describes it as "SSU rRNA". It matches the Rfam family "Eukaryotic small subunit ribosomal RNA", at positions 436 to 1631 of the family's 1831-position model. Lineage: Eukaryota; Metazoa; Nematoda; Chromadorea; Rhabditida; Gnathostomatidae. The record is from RNAcentral.
GCAAAUUACCCACUCUCAGCACGAGGAGGUAGUGACGAAAAAUAACGGGACCGUUCUCUAUGAGGCCGGUUAUCGCAAUGGGUACAAUCUAAACCCUUUAACGAGGAUCUAUGAGAGGGCAAGUCUGGUGCCAGCAGCCGCGGUAAUUCCAGCUCUCAAAGUGUAUAUCGUCAUUGCUGCGGUUAAAAAGCUCGUAGUUGGAUCUGCGCCCGAGGACCCGGUCCGCCCACUGGGCGUGAACUGGGCUCCGAGGCUAAUUGUGCUGAUCGUCCCUUCGUUGCCUUCACCGGUUGCGUUGGGUGGUUAGCGAGUUUACUUUGAAAAAAUUAGAGUGCUUCAAACAGGCUAGCGCCUGCAUAUUUGUGCAUGGAAUAAUGGAAUAGGAUCUCGGUUCUAUUUUGUUGGUUUUCAGAGCGGAGAUAAUGGUUAAGAGGGACGGACGGGGGCAUUCGUAUCGCUGCGUGAGAGGUGAAAUUCUUGGACCGUAGCGAGACGCCCGACUGCGAAAGCAUUUGCCAAGAAUGUCUUCAUUAAUCAAGAACGAAAGUCAGAGGUUCGAAGGCGAUCAGAUACCGCCCUAGUUCUGACCGUAAACGAUGCCAACUAGCGAUCCGUCGGCGGUAAUUACGCCUUGACGGGCAGCUCCCCGGAAACGAAAGUCUUCCGGUUCCGGGGGAAGUAUGGUUGCAAAGCUGAAACUUAAAGAAAUUGACGGAAGGGCACCACCAGGAGUGGAGCCUGCGGCUUAAUUUGACUCAACACGGGAAAACUCACCUGGCCAGGACACCGUGAGGACUGACAGAUUGAGAGCUCUUUCUUGAUUCGGUGGUUGGUGGUGCAUGGCCGUUCUUAGUUGGUGGAGUGAUUUGUCUGGUUUAUUCCGAUAACGAGCGAGACUCUAGCCUAUUAAAUAGUUAUCGGAUAAAUGUGUUCGAAAGACUUCUUAGAGGGACAAGCGGUGCUCAGCCGCACGAAAUUGAGCAAUAACAGGUCUGUGAUGCCCUUAGAUGUCCAGGGCUGCACGCGCGCUACACUGGAGAAAUCAGCGUGCCGUAACCAUUGUCGACAGGCAUUGGUAACCAAUUGAAAUUUUUCCGUGAUCGGGAUCGGUAAUUGCAAUUAUUUGCCUUGAACGAGGAAUUCCCAGUAAGUGUGAGUCAU